UUGAAUCAAUAUUUAAGUUUCAGGCCUGUUGUACCCAUGGGCGUACUGGGCGGGGGGGGGGGGCGGCAGCCCCCCCAGUUUGUUGGGCAGUCGGGCAAUAUUCGCUGAAAAGUCGGGCAAUUUUGGUGUAUUAAAAAAAGGAAUGAGACAAAUUCUGUAAAUUUUGUGGUCAAUUUUGUGAUGUUUCCAAAAUUUUUGUUAGGUUCCGGAAAAUUUUGGUAUGUCCGGAAAAAAUUUUUGACCCCUAAAAUGGUACACUGACCGAAAUUUUUUUGGCGACUGG
Paramuricea clavata is the source of this 283-nucleotide non-coding RNA. The record is from the annotation of a GenBank genome assembly. Lineage: Eukaryota; Metazoa; Cnidaria; Anthozoa; Malacalcyonacea; Plexauridae.